CUGGGCGUAAAGCGAGCGUAGGUGGCUUGAUAAGUCAGAUGUGAAAUUCCCCGGGCUUAACCCUGGGGAACUGCAUCUGAAACUGUUAGGCUAGAGUAGGUGAGAGGGAAGUAGAAUUUCAGGUGUAGCGGUGAAAUGCGUAGAGAUCUGAAGGAAUACCGAUGGCGAAGGCAGCUUCCUGGCAUCAUACUGACACUGAGGCUCGAAAGCGUGGGUAGCAAACAGGAUUAGAUACCCUGGUAGUCCACGCCGUAAACGAUGUCUACUAGUCGUUGGGUCCCUUGAGGACUUAGUGACGCAGCUAACGCAAUAAGUAGACCGCCUGGGGAGUACGGCCGCAAGGUUAAAACUCAAAUGAAUUGACGGGGGCCCGCACAAGCGGUGGAGCAUGUGGUUUAAUUCGAUGCAACGCGAAGAACCUUACCUGGUCUUGACAUAUCUAGAAUCCUGCAGAGAUGCGGGAGUGCCUUCGGGAAUUAGAAUACAGGUGCUGCAUGGCUGUCGUCAGCUCGUGUCGUGAGAUGUUGGGUUAAGUCCCGCAACGAGCGCAACCCUUGUCCUUAGUUACCAGCGGGUUAAGCCGGGAACUCUAAGGAUACUGCCAGUGACAAACUGGAGGAAGGCGGGGACGACGUCAAGUCAUCAUGGCCCUUACGACCAGGGCUACACACGUGCUACAAUGGUAGGUACAGAGGGCAGCUACACAGCGAUGUGAUGCGAAUCUCAAAAAGCCUAUCGUAGUCCAGAUUGGAGUCUGCAACUCGACUCCAUGAAGUAGGAAUCGCUAGUAAUCGCGGAUCAGAAUGCCGCGGUGAAUACGUUCCCGGGCCUUGUACACCCCCUUUA
This 846-nucleotide ribosomal RNA is filed under the name Psychrobacter sp. 707A3. RNAcentral's name for it is "bacterial SSU rRNA". It matches the Rfam family "Bacterial small subunit ribosomal RNA", at positions 554 to 1396 of the family's 1533-position model. The record is from RNAcentral. Lineage: Bacteria; Pseudomonadati; Pseudomonadota; Gammaproteobacteria; Moraxellales; Moraxellaceae.